This is a non-coding RNA of Pangasianodon gigas (Mekong giant catfish), 71 nucleotides long. The record is from the annotation of a GenBank genome assembly. Lineage: Eukaryota; Metazoa; Chordata; Actinopteri; Siluriformes; Pangasiidae.
UCCCUGGAGGACUAGUGGUUAGGCCACAGGCUCUCACCGCUGUGGUCUGGGUUCGAUUCCCGGUCAGGGAA